GAUGAAGAACGUAGUGAAAUGCGAUAAGUAAUGUGAAUUGCAGAAUUCAGUGAAUCAUCGAAUCUUUGAACGCACCUUGCACCCUUUGGCAUUCCGAAGGGUAUGCUCGUUUGAGUGUCAUUGUACUCUCACACUUCCAAUCUUUGGAUUGGGAGCAGUGGACUUGGGUGUUGCUGCUUACUGUGGCUCACCUCAAAUCGAUUCGUGCACCUCUUGGUUGGACAUAGUACGGCGUGAUAAGUGUCUUCGCCGGCACCUCAGUAGAGGGUGGCUGAUCAGGAGCUCUGUGCUUCAAACCGUCCUCGGACAAAAACUGACAACUUGACCUCAAAUCGAGUAGGACUACCCGCUGAACUUAAGCAUAUCAAUAAGCGGAGGA
RNAcentral lists this unclassified non-coding RNA (379 nucleotides) under soil metagenome. RNAcentral's name for it is "partial contains 5.8S ribosomal RNA, internal transcribed spacer 2, and large subunit ribosomal RNA". The stretch from base 1 to 120 matches the Rfam family "5.8S ribosomal RNA", at positions 35 to 154 of the family's 154-position model. The record is from RNAcentral.